Molecule: ribosomal RNA, 433 nt
Filed under: uncultured bacterium
Lineage: Bacteria
Description: bacterial SSU rRNA
Rfam family: Bacterial small subunit ribosomal RNA
Source: RNAcentral
AACGAACGCUGGCGGCAUGCCUAACACAUGCAAGUCGAACGGGAUCCUAGCUUGCUAGGUGAGAGUGGCGGACGGGUGAGUAACACGUGGGAAUCUGCCUUUUGGUUCGGGAUAACCGCGGGAAACUGCGGCUAAUACCGAAUGCCCUCGAGAGAGGAAAGAUUUAUCGCCAGAAGAGGAGCCCGCGUCCGAUUAGGUAGUUGGUGGGGUAAAGGCCUACCAAGCCGACGAUCGGUAGCUGGUCUGAGAGGAUGAUCAGCCACACUGGGACUGAGAUACGGCCCAGACUCCUACGGGAGCAGCAGUGGGGAAUAUUGGACAAUGGGGGCAACCCUGAUCCAGCAAUGCCGCGUGAGUGAUGAAGGCCUUAGGGUUGUAAAGCUCUUUUGCCAGGAAGAUGAUGACUGUACCUGGAGAAUAAGCCCCGGCUAAC